RNAcentral lists this ribosomal RNA (894 nucleotides) under Anastrepha bicolor. RNAcentral describes it as "partial 16S ribosomal RNA". Lineage: Eukaryota; Metazoa; Arthropoda; Insecta; Diptera; Tephritidae. The record is from RNAcentral.
AGUUUUUUUAGAAAUAAAUUUAAUUUACAAAUUUUUAAUUUUUAAUUUUUUUUUAGAAAAUUUAAAAAAUUAUAAAUUUGAAUAUUUUAAGGGAUAAGCUUUAAAAUAAAUUAUUAAAAUUAUUUAAAUAAUUAAUUUAAAAUGUAUGUGUAGAAUUAGCAAUCAUUAAUAAAUUUGUUAUAAAUUAUUAAUAUAAUUUAUUAUUUAUUAUUUUUUAAUUAAUUUAUAAAAAUUUUUUUGUUAAUUUUUAAUAAAAAGUAAUAAUGAUUAAAUUAGUAUAUAAGUAAUAUUGUUUUGAUAUUUUAUUUUGAAAAGUUUAUAUAAAGAACUCGGCAAAUUAAUAAAUAAGUUAUUAUUUAAAUUAUACCCGCCUGUUUAACAAAAACAUGUCUUUUUGAGUUAAUUUUAAAGUCUAGCCUGCCCACUGAAUAAUUUUUAAAUGGCCGCAGUAUUUUGACUGUGCAAAGGUAGCAUAAUCAUUAGUCUUUUAAUUGAAGGCUGGUAUGAAUGGUUGGACGAGGUAUAUACUGUUUCAUAUAAAUUUAUUAUAGAAUUUUAUAUUUUAGUAAAAAAGCUAAAAUUUUAUUAAAAGACGAGAAGACCCUAUAAAUCUUUAUAUUUAAUUUUAUAUAAAUUUUUUAGAUAAAUUUUAUUUUUAUAAUAUUAAAUAUUUUGUUGGGGUGAUAUUAAAAUUUAAUUAACUUUUAAUUAUUUAAGAUCAUUAAUUUAUGAUUUGUUGAUCCAAUAGUAUUGAUUAUAAGAUUAAGUUACUUUAGGGAUAACAGCGUAAUUUUUUUUAAGAGUUCAUAUCGAUAAAAAAGUUUGCGACCUCGAUGUUGGAUUAAGGUAUAAUUUUGGGUGUAGCUGUUCAAAAUUAAGUCUGUUCGACUUUUG